AGAACGAACGCUGGCGGAGUGCCUAAUACAUGCAAGUUGAGCGUGAGGGGAGCAAUCCCUGAAAGCGGCGAACGGGUGAGUAACACGUAAGUAAUCUGCCUCUAAAUUUGGGAUAACCCUGCUAACGUGGGGCUAAUACCGGAUGUGGUCAUUUUUUCGCAUGAGAAGGUGAUUAAAGGUGGCGCAAGCUGCUGUUUAGAGAUGAACUUGCGGCCCAUUAGCUAGUUGGUGAGGUAACAGCUUACCAAGGCAGAGAUGGGUAGCCGACCUGAGAGGGUGAUCGGCCACAUUGGGACUGAGAUACGGCCCAGACUCCUACGGGAGGCAGCAGUAGGGAAUUUUGCGCAAUGGACGAAAGUCUGACGCAGCAACUCCGCGUGAUGGAUGAAGGUCUUCGGAUUGUAAACAUCUGUUGAUAGGGACGAAAACAUUAUACGCGAAUAACGUGUAGUAUUGACGGUACCUGUUGAGGAAGCCCCGGCUAACUACGUGCCAGCAGCCGCGGUAAUACGUAGGGGGCUAGCGUUGUUCGGAAUCACUGGGCGUAAAGGGAGCGUAGGCGGGGAUAUAAGUUGGGAGUGAAAUAUGGCAGCUUAACUGUCAAAGUGCUUUCAAUACUGUAUUUCUUGAGUGUGGAAGGGGUAGAUGGAAUUCCUGGUGUAGCGGUGGAAUGCGUAGAUAUCAGGAAGAACACCAAUAGCGAAGGCGGUCUACUGGUCCAAUACUGACGCUGAGGCUCGAAAGCUAGGGGAGCAAACAGGAUUAGAUACCCUGGUAGUCCUAGCUGUAAACGAUGGAUACUAGUUGUUGGGAAGAGCAAAUUCUCAGUGACGAAGCAAACGCGAUAAGUAUCCCGCCUGGGGAGUACGCUCGCAAGAGUGAAACUCAAAGGAAUUGACGGGGGCCCGCACAAGCGGUGGAGCAUGUGCUUUAAUUCGAUGCAACGCGAAGAACCUUACCUGGUCUUGACAUGGGAAUGAAAGUUGGUAGAGAUAUCGACCUUUUCGCAAGAGACAUUCCACACAGGUGCUGCAUGGUUGUCGUCAGCUCGUGUCGUGAGAUGUUGGGUUAAGUCCCGCAACGAGCGCAACCCUCGUCCUUAGUUGCCAGCACGUAACGGUGGGAACUCUAGGGAUACUGCCUGGAAUAACCAGGAGGAAGGUGGGGAUGACGUCAAAUCAUCAUGGCUCUUACGACCAGGGCUAGACACGUGCUACAAUGGAUAGAACAAAGGGGAGCAAGACUGUGAAGUUUAGCGAAUCCACAAAACUAUCCUCAGUUCGGAUUGGAGUCUGCAAUUCGACUCCAUGAAGCUGGAAUCGCUAGUAAUCGUGGAUCAGCACGCCACGGUGAAUACGUUCCCGGGCCUUGUACACACCGCCCGUCAAGCCAUGAAAGACGGUAGUACCCGAAGCCGUUACUCUAACCCGCAAGGGGGGAUAAUGUCUAAGGUAAGAUUGUUGAUUGGGGCUAAGUCGUAACAAGGUA
RNAcentral lists this ribosomal RNA (1488 nucleotides) under metagenome. Its description in RNAcentral is "bacterial SSU rRNA". It matches the Rfam family "Bacterial small subunit ribosomal RNA". The record is from RNAcentral.